AGCCUGAACGCUGGCGGCGUGGCUAAGACAUGCAAGUCGUACGGUGUAGCAAUACACAGUGGCGAACGGGAGAGUAAUGAAUCGCUAAUGUGCCCCGGACUCUGGGAUAGCUAGUUGAAAGAUUAGGUAAUACCAGAUGACAUAUCUUUAUCGCAUGAUAGAGAUCUCAAAGGUCCGCCGGUCUGGGAGCAGGCGAUUUCGUAUCAGCUAGUUGGUGAGGUAACGGCUCACCAAGGCGACGACGCGUAGCCGGACUGAGAGGUUGGCCGGCCUCAUUGGGACUGAGACACUGCCCAGACUCCUACGGGGGGCUGCAGUAACGAAUCUUCCGCAAUGCACGAAAGUGUGACGGAGCGACGCCGCGUGUGGGACGAAGUCCUUCGGGAUGUAAACCACUGUCAGGGGUUACCAAGUUCUGAGGAGCCCCAGGAGGAAGGGACGGCUAACUCGUGCGCCAGCAGCCGCGGU
This 468-nucleotide ribosomal RNA is filed under the name uncultured bacterium. Its description in RNAcentral is "SSU rRNA". It matches the Rfam family "Bacterial small subunit ribosomal RNA", at positions 26 to 521 of the family's 1533-position model. The record is from RNAcentral.